UACGUAGGGUGCAGGCGUUAAUCGGAAUUACUGGGCGUAAAGCGUGCGCAGGCGGUUUCUUAAGUCAGAUGUGAAAGCCCCGGGCUUAACCUGGGAACUGCGUUUGAAACUGGGAGACUCGAGUGUGGCAGAGGAGGGUGGAAUUCCACGUGUAGCAGUGAAAUGCGUAGAUAUCUGGAGGAAUACCGGUGGCGAAGGCGGCAUCCUGGACCAUUUACUGACGCUGAGGCGCGAAAGCUAGGGGAGCAAACGGG
Molecule: ribosomal RNA, 254 nt
Filed under: uncultured bacterium
Lineage: Bacteria
Description: partial 16S ribosomal RNA
Rfam family: Bacterial small subunit ribosomal RNA
Source: RNAcentral